This is a long non-coding RNA of Zea mays, 996 nucleotides long. RefSeq lists it as uncharacterized. The transcript is spliced from 2 exons. The record is from RefSeq and is a predicted model, not a curated record. Lineage: Eukaryota; Viridiplantae; Streptophyta; Magnoliopsida; Poales; Poaceae.
CUCGGCGCAUUGGAGAGGUAGUAGCUAGCGCACGCCCUUCGUCCGUCAAGCCCAGUAGCCCACACCUGCACCUCUAUGGCACUAUUAGCACCUCUAUCUAGUUCUUCUCUCUUCAGCCUCGGAUCCAGGCGAGCACCAUACCCCUGCAAAUAAUAAGGUUACCAGCUUGCAGGCAGCCACAGGCACGGUACUUCAGAGCAAUACACUAUUACUUCCUCUGCCAGGAUUCAGGCACAGUAUUGUAUUUGGAAUUAUUGAACAGUGUAUUUCUUGUACAAUUCGACUCAUAAGUUUUUUAAGAUUCAUCACAGGCUUCAACUACAACUUGGCUAGAGAAAUUUUAAAAGAAGAGAAGUGAUGCGGGUAUAGUUACUUCAAGAUAAAAGCGUCAAAGUAAUGUAAAUGAGCUAUGGGCUUUUGAGCAAGCACGGAGCGAGGGCCACUGCCUGUGGUCUUGUUUCUUCAGGUAAAGAAAAACAGUUCUUCCUGAGUGAGGGGUAGCCAAGAUCGACGACUGGCGGCAGGUGUACAAGCCCACAACCACAAGUCGUCGUCCAGGCUCUCGACUCGAGGGAGAAGCAACUCCGAUCACUUGUUCAGAGUUGCAUGUCCCGUGAACUCAGGCAUGUUCAUUCGCCUACCUACCCAGAUCCCUGCUAUUCGACCCUCAAUUGUGAGUUCUGGAUGAGAUGAGUUCUUUCACGCAAUUCAGGGCCAGAAGUCCAUGCAGUGGCAAAAGCAGAACGCGUGUUGGAAGUCCAAGCGCAAGCCCAUCCCGGGAAGCUGCCUGUCGGAUGUCGAUGAACGCGUGUUGGAAGUCCAAGCGCAGAACGCGUGUUGGAAGUCCAAGCGCAAGUCCAUGCUGUGGCAAAAGCAGAACGAGUCAAUGGUGAUCGAUGAGACGCCGCGUUGUGUUGUUCUUGCAGUCUUGCUCAUCGUGCUCGCCGUGUUUCACAACUUAUGCAUUUACAUAUUGUGCCGUCUCGUCACUCGAAA